CAGAGGUUACUGCUAUCGAGAUUCGACUAASCCAUGCGAGUUGAAUGUUCUUCGUGAACAUGGCGGACUGCUCAGUAACACGUGGACAACCUACCCUUGGGUCCGGCAUAAUCCUGGGAAACUGGGAAUAAUUCCGGAUAGGUCACCGAUGCUGGAAUGCGCGGUGGCCGAAAGCUCCGGCGCCCGAGGAUGGGUCUGCGGCCUAUCAGGGUUGUAGUGGGUGUAACGUACCUACUAGCCUACGACGGGUACGGGUUGUGAGAGCAAGAGCCCGGAGAUGGAUUCUGAGACACGAAUCCAGGCCCUACGGGGUGCAGCAGGCGCGAAAACUUUACAAUGCGGGAAACCGUGAUAAGGGGAUCUCGAGUGCCAGCAUAUAAUGUUGGCUGUCCAGAUGCCUAAAAAGCAUCUGUUAGCAAGGGCCGGGCAAGACCGGUGCCAGCCGCCGCGGUAACACCGGCGGCCCGAGUGGUAACCGCUAUUAUUGGGUCUAAAGGGUCUGUAGCCGGCCAGGUAAGUCCCUUGGGAAAUCUGGCAGCUCAACUGUCAGGCUGCUAGGGGAUACUGUUUGGCUUGGGACCGGGAGAGGUGAGAGGUACCUUGGGGGUAGGGGUGAAAUCUUGUGAUCCUCGAGGGACCACCAGUGGCGAAGGCGUCUCACCAGAACGGGUCCGACGGUAAGGGACGAAAGCUAGGGGCACGAACCGGAUUAGAUACCCGGGUAGUCCUAGCCGUAAACGAUGCUCGCUAGGUGUCAGUCACGGUGCGACCGUGAUUGGUGCCGUAGGGAAGCCGUGAAGCGAGCCACCUGGGAAGUAUGGCCGCAAGGCUGAAACUUAAAGGAAUUGGCGSGGSAGCACUACAACGGGUGGAGCCUGCGGUUUAAUG
RNAcentral lists this ribosomal RNA (888 nucleotides) under uncultured Methanosaeta sp. RNAcentral's name for it is "bacterial SSU rRNA". It matches the Rfam family "Archaeal small subunit ribosomal RNA", at positions 18 to 907 of the family's 1478-position model. The record is from RNAcentral. Lineage: Archaea; Methanobacteriati; Methanobacteriota; Methanomicrobia; Methanotrichales; Methanotrichaceae.